AACGAACGCUGGCGGCAUGCCUAACACAUGCAAGUCGAGCGAACCCAUCGGGUGUAGGGGCGUACGGCUUUGUAACGCGUGGGAACAUGCCCUUGUGUACGACAUAACUCUACGACAGGGGUGAUAAUGCCGGAUAGUAUCUAAGACCGAAAGAUUUAUCGAGUUAGAAUGUGCACGAGUUGGAUUAGGUAGUUGGUAGGGUAAUAGCCUACCAAGCCGACGAUCCAUAGCUGGUUUGAGAGGAUGAUCAGCCACACUGGGACUGAGACACGGCCCAGACUCCUACGGGAGGCAGCAGUGGGGAAUGUUGCACAAUGGGCGAAAGCCUGAUCGAGCUAGGCCGCGUGAGUGAUGAAGGUCUUAGAGAUGUAAAGCGCAUUUACCUGGGAUGAUAAUGACGGUACCUGAAGAAUAAGCUCCGGCUAACUCCGUG
Molecule: ribosomal RNA, 433 nt
Filed under: uncultured bacterium
Lineage: Bacteria
Description: partial 16S ribosomal RNA
Rfam family: Bacterial small subunit ribosomal RNA
Source: RNAcentral